Gossypium arboreum is the source of this 454-nucleotide long non-coding RNA. RefSeq lists it as uncharacterized. The record is from RefSeq and is a predicted model, not a curated record. The transcript is spliced from 3 exons. NCBI's taxonomy places the organism in Eukaryota, Viridiplantae, Streptophyta, Magnoliopsida, Malvales, Malvaceae.
CAUUUUUUUUCCAUUCUUUCUUCUUCAACCGUGGGAAAGAACUGAAAAUGGCAGCCAUGGAUGAGCUCCAUUCAGCCAAGCUUCUAUGGCUUAUAUAGAUGAUGAAAAUUGAGACUUGGACCUAGAACGGAAAGAAAUCGAUUUAUGGACGAGUAUGUCCUUUUCACAUUUGUGGUAUCGAGAGUUCCAGGUUAGCUCGGGUUGGAGGCCGUCAGAGAUAUUAUCACCCUAUCGAGUUAACGUUAUCGGAGUAAGUAAACUCAAGUGAUUCGAGUCUAUGGCAUGUAUAGGGUUUUAAUGUGAGUAUGUAAUAUUAUGAUUUAGCCAAAGGCAUUGGCUUGUUAUUAAGGUAGUAUUAGUCAUGUAAAUUGGCCUAUGUCGGCUAAUGACGUUAUGGGCCCAUAUGAUUAUUCUUAUGCAUUUAUGUUAUUAUUUCUUGUGAUGUGGCUUACAA